GACGAACGCUGGCGGCGUGCUUAACACAUGCAAGUGGAGCGACGAACCAGGCUUCGGCCUGGGGCAGAGCCGCGAACGGGUGAGUAACACGUGGGUAACCUGCCUCGAUGACCGGGACAACCCGAGGAAACCCGGGCUAAUACCGGAUGUGCUCCUUCACAUCAGUGAAGACAGGAAAGGAAGCUUCGGCCUCCGCAUCGAGAUGGGCCCGCGGCCCAUUAGCUUGUUGGUGAGGAACGGCUCACCAAGGCUGCGAUGGGUAGCUGGUCUGAGAGGACGAUCAGCCACACUGGGACUGAGACACGGCCCAGACUCCUACGGGAGGCAGCAGUGGGGAAUCUUGCGCAAUGCGCGAAAGCGUGACGCAGCAACGCCGCGUGGGGGAAGACGGCUUUCGGGUU
RNAcentral lists this ribosomal RNA (401 nucleotides) under uncultured bacterium. RNAcentral's name for it is "bacterial SSU rRNA". It matches the Rfam family "Bacterial small subunit ribosomal RNA", at positions 28 to 424 of the family's 1533-position model. The record is from RNAcentral.